CUGCAACUAGACCUGUACGAGCCGCCCAUCUCGCAGUGCGUCACGUGACGUGGUCGCCUUCCACGCGGGCGACUUCAACAAGCUCAUGCAACUGCUGCAACUAGACCUGUACGAGCCGCCCAUCUCGCAGUGCGUCACGUGACGUGGUCGCCUUCCACGCGGGCGACUUCAACAAGCUCGUGCAACUGCUGCAACUAGACCUGUACGAGCCGCCCAUCUCGCAGUGCGUCACGUGACGUGGUCGCCUUCCACGCGGGCGACUUCAACAAGCUCAUGCAACUGCUGCAACUAGACCUGUACGAGCCGCCCAUCUCGCAGUGCGUCACGUGACGUGGUCGCCUUCCACGCGGGCGACUUCAACAAGCUCGUGCAACUGCUGCAACUAGACCUGUACGAGCCGCCCAUCUCGCAGUGCGUCACGUGGUGAGU
Molecule: long non-coding RNA, 429 nt
Organism: Cydia splendana
Lineage: Eukaryota; Metazoa; Arthropoda; Insecta; Lepidoptera; Tortricidae
Exons: 5
Source: RefSeq, a predicted model, not a curated record